RNAcentral lists this long non-coding RNA (1241 nucleotides) under Struthio camelus australis. RNAcentral's name for it is "lncRNA (ENSSCUG00000009471.1)". The record is from RNAcentral. Lineage: Eukaryota; Metazoa; Chordata; Aves; Struthioniformes; Struthionidae.
AACGCUGUCUAACACCGGCCGUCGGAGAGCACCGGGAGACGACACACUGCAGAGCAAGGCAAGCAUUAACUGGCCCGACGCACAUCUCUUCUGCGUAGCAAUUAUUUCAAAUAAGAAAACUCAUCCGAUCCUUUGAGCUCAGCAGUUGCUAUUACUGAAGUCGGAGGCAAAACUUCCACUCGCUCCAGCAGAAGAAGGAGCCUGUUUCAUACAGCAAAUCCAUGUGUAUUGCCAUAUGUUGCUUUCUCUCCUUGUUCUGUUUUCCCUUUCAUCUCUAACUGCUUCAUCAAAGAAAAGUUGCUGAUCAUUGCAGCCACUCGGGGUGUUUGCACAAAGACAGUAACUCAAGCCCUGGAGUGUGCUGUUUUGGCAGUGUAGUCUAGGCACCGCUUGUUGUUUCAGCUGACCUCUUCCACAGCUUCUGCCCUGGUCUCUUCACUAUCUGCAGACUCACAGUCUCCAGUUCAUUGAACAACCACACGGCAAGAGCAUAACUCCUGUCUGAAGAUCUAAAAUAAAGAGUAAUGCUCCAUUCAAAGGCCCCUGAGUUUAAUCCCUCCUGAUUCACCAGGGAAGUUUACUGCACGCCCAACUUCAAGCUCACGCAGAAAUGCCCCUGAAUGAAAGAGCCUGUGAGUAUUUAAGUUCAGUGCUGCCUGGAAAUGGAGGCCAAUGUAUACGAAAACCCUUUUCUCUCUUGAACCUUUUGUAGACAAUGAAAACAGUGAAAACUCAGAAUUCAAGACUGAGGUGAUAGUUUCAUUCCUUCUCGCUUGGAAACUUUCAGAAGAACUUACGGGUCAUUUUGCCCUGUGUUUUUCUCGGUGUGGGUGUGGGUGUGCAAACCACACGUACAGCAUCAACCUGCAGUGAACUCAGAGUCACAAAAUUGGAAUUCUGCUGUUUCCAGCAUCUAAAACAUCAGUUCAGUUAUGGAACAGGAAGCUUUAUCACAGACCCUGCAGCUUUCCAGAGGGCUUAACUGCUUCUUUAGAGACAACCAAAAGACGGCAAAAGCAGUCCCCAAGCCAGGAGGAACAACUCUGCAAGAUCUCAGCUGUUCUGUGCCUUUGUGGAAAUGCUCAGCACGUGGGGAGAUCAGUGGAAGGGGAAAUGCGAGAGACUUCCAAAACUCAGAGAGCACAAAGACAACAAAACAGCAGCCGUGGACAGGACAGCACGGUACUUAGGAAAGCAGAACCUGUCAGCCAAGGCAAAGAUCUGAAUGAGCUGGGGUCUAG